UGGGGAAUUUUGGACAAUGGGCGCAAGCCUGAUCCAGCAAUGCCGCGUGCAGGAAGAAGGCCUUCGGGUUGUAAACUGCUUUUGUACGGAGCGAAAAGGCUCUCUCUAAUACAGGGGGCUGAUGACGGUACCGUAAGAAUAAGCACCGGCUAACUACGUGCC
Molecule: ribosomal RNA, 162 nt
Filed under: uncultured bacterium
Lineage: Bacteria
Description: partial 16S ribosomal RNA
Rfam family: Bacterial small subunit ribosomal RNA
Source: RNAcentral